AACUUUCAACAACGGAUCUCUUGGUUCUGGCAUCGAUGAAGAACGCAGCGAAAUGCGAUAAGUAAUGUGAAUUGCAGAAUUCAGUGAAUCAUCGAAUCUUUGAACGCACAUUGCGCCCUCUGGUAUUCCGGGGGGCAUGCCUGUUCGAGCGUCAUGAU
RNAcentral lists this ribosomal RNA (158 nucleotides) under Rhynchosporium agropyri. RNAcentral describes it as "5.8S ribosomal RNA". It matches the Rfam family "5.8S ribosomal RNA". Rfam says of the family: 5.8S ribosomal RNA (5.8S rRNA) is a component of the large subunit of the eukaryotic ribosome. It is transcribed by RNA polymerase I as part of the 45S precursor that also contains 18S and 28S rRNA. Lineage: Eukaryota; Fungi; Ascomycota; Leotiomycetes; Helotiales; Ploettnerulaceae. The record is from RNAcentral.